AGAGUUUGAUCCUGGCUCAGGAUGAACGCUGGCGGUAUGCCUUACACAUGCAAGUCGUACGAGAGUUUUUAACUCAAGUGGCGGACGGGUGAGUAACACGUGGGCAACCUGCCCCUCGCAGGGGGACAACCGGAGGAAACUCCGGCUAAUACCCCGUACGCUUGUUGGAUCGCAUGGUCCGGCAAGGAAAGGUAGCUUCGGCCAUCCGGCGAGGGAUGGGCCCGCGUUGCGUUAGCUAGUUGGUGGGGUAACGGCCUACCAAGGCGACGAUGCGUAGCUGGUCUGAGAGGAUGAUCAGCCACACUGGGACUGAGACACGGCCCAGACUCCUACGGGAGGCAGCAGCCAGGGAAUCUUGGGCAAUGGGCGAAAGCCUGACCCAGCAACACCGUGUGGGCGAUGAAGGCCUUAGGGUCGUAAAGCCCUGUUGAUAGGGACGAAGGGCGAAGGGUUAAUAGCCCCUAGCUUGACGGUACCUUUCGAGGAAGCCCCGGCUAACUACGUGCCAGCAGCCGCGGUAAUACGUAGGGGGCGAGCGUUGUCCGGAAUUAUUGGGCGUAAAGAGCGUGUAGGCGGUUCGGUAAGUCUGCUGUGAAAUCCUGGGGCUCAACCCUGGGCGUGCAGCGGAUACUGCCGGGCUAGAGGGUGGUAGAGGCGAGUGGAAUUCCGAGUGUAGCGGUGAAAUGCGCAGAUAUUCGGAGGAACACCAGUAGCGAAGGCGGCUCGCUGGGCCACACCUGACGCUGAGACGCGAAAGCGUGGGGAGCGAACAGGAUUAGAUACCCUAGUAGUCC
This 794-nucleotide ribosomal RNA is filed under the name uncultured bacterium. RNAcentral's name for it is "bacterial SSU rRNA". It matches the Rfam family "Bacterial small subunit ribosomal RNA", at positions 8 to 796 of the family's 1533-position model. The record is from RNAcentral.